Molecule: ribosomal RNA, 408 nt
Filed under: uncultured bacterium
Lineage: Bacteria
Description: partial 16S ribosomal RNA
Rfam family: Bacterial small subunit ribosomal RNA
Source: RNAcentral
GACGAACGCUGGCGGAGUGCUUAACACAUGCAAGUCGAACGAAGUGGCGAACGGGGGAGAAAUAAGUGGGUAACAUGCCCUCCUUUUUGGGAUAAGCCUCGGAAACGGGGUCUAAUACCGAAUAACGGGGGAUGGGCUCGUGGCCUAUCAGCUUGUUGGUGGGGUGCUGGCCUACCAAGGCGGUGACGGGUAGCAGGCCGGAGAGGGUGACCUGCCACAUUGGGACCGGGGUACCGCCCAGGCUCCUCCGUGGGGGAGCAGUGGGGGCUAUUGCACCAGUGGUGAAAGACUUAUGCCGCGACGGCGCGGAGGGGGUUCAGGCUUUCGGGUUGUAAACCCCUUUCGCUAUCGAACGGGUAGGUGGAGAAGAAGCGCCGGCUAACUACGUGCCAGCAGCCGCGGUAAUAC